GAUGAACGCUGGCGGCGUGCCUAAUACAUGCAAGUCGAGCGAACAGACGAGGAGCUUGCUCCUCUGACGUUAGCGGCGGACGGGUGAGUACACGUGGAUAACCUACCUAUAAGACUGGGAUAACUUCGGGAAACCGGAGCUAAUACCGGAUAACAUGUUGAACCGCAUGGUUCAACAGUGAAAGACGGUCUUGCUGUCACUUAUAGAUGGAUCCGCGCCGCAUUAGCUAGUUGGUAAGGUAACGGCUUACCAAGGCAACGAUGCGUAGCCGACCUGAGAGGGUGAUCGGCCACACUGGAACUGAGACACGGUCCAGACUCCUACGGGAGGCAGCAGUAGGGAAUCUUCCGCAAUGGGCGAAAGCCUGACGGAGCAACGCCGCGUGAGUGAAGAAGGUCUUCGGAUCGUAAAACUCUGUUAUUAGGGAGGAACAAAUGUGUAAGUAACUAUGCACGUCUUGACGGUACCUAAUCAGAAAGCCACGGCUAACUACGUG
This 496-nucleotide ribosomal RNA is filed under the name uncultured bacterium. RNAcentral's name for it is "partial 16S ribosomal RNA". It matches the Rfam family "Bacterial small subunit ribosomal RNA", at positions 28 to 507 of the family's 1533-position model. The record is from RNAcentral.